UGGGGAAUAUUGGACAAUGGGCGAAAGCCUGAUCCAGCCAUGCCGCGUGUGUGAAGAAGGCCUUUUGGUUGUAAAGCACUUUAAGUGGGGAGGAAAAGCUUAUGGUUAAUACCCAUAAGCCCUGACGUUACCCACAGAAUAAGCACCGGCUAACUCUGUGCCAGCAGCCGCGGUAAUACAGAGGGUGCAAGCGUUAAUCGGAAUUACUGGGCGUAAAGCGCGCGUAGGUGGUUAUUUAAGUCAGAUGUGAAAGCCCCGGGCUUAACCUGGGAACUGCAUCUGAUACUGGAUAACUAGAGUAGGUGAGAGGGGAGUAGAAUUCCAGGUGUAGCGGUGAAAUGCGUAGAGAUCUGGAGGAAUACCGAUGGCGAAGGCAGCUCCCUGGCAUCAUACUGACACUGAGGUGCGAAAGCGUGGGUAGCAAACAGGAUUAGAUACCCUGGUAGUCCACGCCGUAAACGAUGUCUACCAGUCGUUGGGUCUUUUAAAGACUUAGUGACGCAGUUAACGCAGUAAGUAGACCGCCUGGGGAGUACGGCCGCAAGGUUA
Molecule: ribosomal RNA, 549 nt
Filed under: uncultured bacterium
Lineage: Bacteria
Description: bacterial SSU rRNA
Rfam family: Bacterial small subunit ribosomal RNA
Source: RNAcentral